This 79-nucleotide small RNA is filed under the name Sphingomonas rubra. Its description in RNAcentral is "Sphingomonas sp. BH3 Makes More Granules Regulator RNA (mmgR)". It matches the Rfam family "Makes More Granules Regulator RNA (mmgR)". From Rfam's summary of the family: SuhB later renamed mmgR (makes more granules regulator) was a putative non-coding RNA found multiple times in the Agrobacterium tumefaciens genome and related alpha-proteobacteria. Other non-coding RNAs uncovered in the same analysis include: speF, ybhL, metA, and serC. Several studies inSinorhizobium meliloti showed that suhB element is indeed a non-coding RNA:firstly it was detected on Northern blot and called Sm8RNA, secondly in an RNAseq study referred to as SmelC689. Lineage: Bacteria; Pseudomonadati; Pseudomonadota; Alphaproteobacteria; Sphingomonadales; Sphingomonadaceae. The record is from Rfam by way of RNAcentral.
AGACCAGGCCUUUCAGGCAUCCUCUCCUAAAAACUUUCAUGGGCUGGCGCUUCGAGCGCCGGCCCUUUUUUUGUCGUCG